AUCGCAACCCUCUACUUUCUCCACAACAACUUUUCCCACUUCAUCUUCUCCAAAUUAAGUCCAUUAAAUUGUGGAAGUUGAAAGGAUGCAGCUAUAUAUUUACAUGGGGGCCGUCGAUCGAUCACAUCAGAGUCAAUAAGACGAGACGUGGAGGUUGAGAUUCAAGUCAAGGUUCAGACCAGCGGCGGAGGCGGAGCGGCGGCUCGUCGGCGCGGCGGCCUUCGCGGUGGUCGUGGUUCAGGUAAAGGUUCGGAUCGGCGGAAGAGACGGAGCGACGGCUCGCCGGCGCGGCGGCCUCCUCGAUGGUCGUGGUUCAGGUAAAGAUUCGGAUCGGCGGAAGAGAUGGAGCGACGGCUCGCCGGCGUGGCAGCCUCCUUGGUGGUCGUCCUCCAUCUGUUGGUGUUGCUGCUCGGCGCGGAGGCCUCCUCGGUGGUCGUGGUUCAGGUAAAGGUUCGGAUCAGCGGAAGAGACGAAGCGACGGCUCAUCGGCGCAGCGGCCUCCGCGGUGGUCGUGGUUCAGGUAAAGGUUCGGAUCGUCGGAAGAGACGGAGCGACGGCUCGCCGGUGCGGCGGCCUCCUUGAUGGUCGUGGUUAAGGUAAAGGUUCAGAUCGGCGGAAGAGAUGGAGCGACGGCUCGCCGGCGUGGCAGCCUCCUUGAUGGUCGUGCUACAUCCGUUGGUGUUGCUGCUCGCAGCCAUGGCCUCCUAAUCCCACCGUCUGGUCAGCGGCGUCAGUUCACACCCUGCCGCUGUCUACUUCUGAUGCGUGCUUAUCAAUUUCCUGCACAUUCGCUGCUUAACUCACCCAUGCAUCCGUCCUCUUAUUCUCCUUCGAUGCAGGGCUCCGCGUUGCUCUGUCCUACGCACUACCGUCACCAUCCACACCUAAUCGACUAGGCUGCACUGCAGCAAGCAUUAGCAUCAGCCAAUGGAAUUGCUGGCUUCGUCAAAAGGAGGAUAGCUGCUGCCUCAGAUUUUCAUGGGACAACUGCAUCAUGAUCUGUUGCGAUGAGAAGAGACACUAGCAGUUAAGACUCAAGAGCAUAUGUACACCCGAGAUACCAGAUAAUACUUAAGUUUCAGAUUUGUUAUUGAUCUGAUAUUUGCUCUAACAGGAUGCAUCACUCAUGUUACUAUACUAAAUUUCUUUGUGAUAUACAAUGCCACCAUCCACUAGAGGUUACUUUUGUCUGGAUGAUAGGGUAAAAAAACUUUUGUCUGCAUUAGUUCUCUUCCAAUCAUUCUCAUAUUUUAACAUUGUGAGUCACUUCGGCAUAUGUGCGCACCCAAGAUUGUUGGAAGUAUGCGCAAUUUCUGCUCUCACCAUCAUCAACUCUUCUUACCUUAACCUAUGCGAAAUCGGAUUUAUGGUACAAAUUGAAUUGGCAAUUUCUGCUCUCACCAUCAUCAACUCUUCUUACCUUAACCUAUUUUCGGUCUAUUUAUUUGUUCUUUGUGGGCAAGAUGUUUCCGGUGCACAAAUGGUUGGUGGUGUCACUAUAUUUUGUCAAUGCGAACUGAAACAAGAAAUGUUCAUAUGUUUUUGAAAGGAAAUGUUAUGUAUUUUUCUAGCCAAUUGUGCAUUGUUCAAUCUCAUGAAAUAGUUUUAUUUUAGCUGAGAGACGACAUGGUUAACAAGAAUAUCCAAAUC
Triticum aestivum (bread wheat) is the source of this 1650-nucleotide long non-coding RNA. RefSeq lists it as uncharacterized. The transcript has 3 exons. Lineage: Eukaryota; Viridiplantae; Streptophyta; Magnoliopsida; Poales; Poaceae. The record is from RefSeq and is a predicted model, not a curated record.